UUUACUUACAGGUUGAAAAAACACUGUUAAAUCAAGUGGGUAAGAGAUUGAUCAAUUAAGCGUAUGUAAAGUACGUCUCCCCACUUGGAAAGGUCUUGUUAUGGUAACAAGACCUUUUUUGAUUAU
This 126-nucleotide non-coding RNA is filed under the name unclassified sequences. RNAcentral describes it as "DUF3800-I RNA". It matches the Rfam family "DUF3800-I RNA". From Rfam's summary of the family: Actinobacteria, Firmicutes, Fusobacteria, Proteobacteria (1 example), Tenericutes (2 examples). Terminator (Clostridia) The record is from Rfam by way of RNAcentral.